RNAcentral lists this ribosomal RNA (253 nucleotides) under uncultured bacterium. Its description in RNAcentral is "partial 16S ribosomal RNA". It matches the Rfam family "Bacterial small subunit ribosomal RNA", at positions 524 to 776 of the family's 1533-position model. The record is from RNAcentral.
UACGUAGGGUGCAAGCGUUAAUCGGAAUUACUGGGCGUAAAGCGUGCGCAGGCGGCUUUGCAAGACAGAUGUGAAAUCCCCGGGCUUAACCUGGGAACUGCAUUUGUGACUGCAUGGCUGGAGUGCGGCAGAGGGGGAUGGAAUUCCGCGUGUAGCAGUGAAAUGCGUAGGGAUGUGGAGGAAUACCGAUGGCGAAGGCAGCCCCCUGGGCCAAUACUGACGCUCAUGCACGAAAGCGUGGGGAGCAAACAGG